GAUGAAGAACGCAGCGAAAUGCGAUAAGUAGUGUGGAUUGCAGAAUUCAGUGAAUCAUCGAAUCUUUGAACGCACAUUGCGCCCCUUGGUAUUCCAUGGGGCAUGCCUGUUCGAGCGUCAUUUGUACCUUCAAGCUUUGCUUGGUGUUGGGUGUUUGUCUCGCCUUUGCGUGUAGACUCGCCUUAAAAUAAUUGGCAGCCGGCGUAUUGAUUUCGGAGCGCAGUACAUCUCGCGCUUUGCACUCAUAACGACAGCGUCCAAAAGUACAUUUUACACUCUUGACCUCGGAUCAGGUAGGGAUACCCGCUGAACUUAAGCAUAUCAAUAAGCGGAGGA
RNAcentral lists this unclassified non-coding RNA (336 nucleotides) under soil metagenome. RNAcentral describes it as "partial contains 5.8S ribosomal RNA, internal transcribed spacer 2, and large subunit ribosomal RNA". The stretch from base 1 to 120 matches the Rfam family "5.8S ribosomal RNA", at positions 35 to 154 of the family's 154-position model. The record is from RNAcentral.